RNAcentral lists this long non-coding RNA (372 nucleotides) under Chrysolophus pictus (golden pheasant). RNAcentral's name for it is "lncRNA (ENSCPIG00010002801.1)". The record is from RNAcentral. Lineage: Eukaryota; Metazoa; Chordata; Aves; Galliformes; Phasianidae.
GUACUGGCUCAUGCAUUUGAUAUAGAUGAAAAAAAAUUCAAAUGGAAAAGCUUGGUCCCUUGGGGUACAGAGCAGUCAAUUGGCUGUGUGAAAUGGAUUAGCUGUGGAAGAGGAAACAGCCUGUUGGACAGAUUGCUGCUGUCACUGAAUGUUGGGGUUAAGAAGCUGUACCUGAGUGCUGCCACAGCAAAUCUGUAGGUCCUGAUGUGAUGUUGCUGCAAGUCUCUUGCAAGAAAGAAAAGCACAGCUCUUAAAGGCUCUUAAACAUUUCUAUUUCUUGUAAUAAUUGAGAAUUUUAAAUAUUUUAACUUCAUUGCCCUGUAAAUUGAAGUAAUGGAUCAAGGUAUGGCUGUAGUAGGGAAGGAUUAUCAA